RNAcentral lists this ribosomal RNA (2772 nucleotides) under Escherichia coli. RNAcentral describes it as "bacterial LSU rRNA". It matches the Rfam family "Bacterial large subunit ribosomal RNA". The record is from RNAcentral. Lineage: Bacteria; Pseudomonadati; Pseudomonadota; Gammaproteobacteria; Enterobacterales; Enterobacteriaceae.
AGCGUACACGGUGGAUGCCCUGGCAGUCAGAGGCGAUGAAGGACGUGCUAAUCUGCGAUAAGCGUCGGUAAGGUGAUAUGAACCGUUAUAACCGGCGAUUUCCGAAUGGGGAAACCCAGUGUGUUUCGACACACUAUCAUUAACUGAAUCCAUAGGUUAAUGAGGCGAACCGGGGGAACUGAAACAUCUAAGUACCCCGAGGAAAAGAAAUCAACCGAGAUUCCCCCAGUAGCGGCGAGCGAACGGGGAGCAGCCCAGAGCCUGAAUCAGUGUGUGUGUUAGUGGAAGCGUCUGGAAAGGCGCGCGAUACAGGGUGACAGCCCCGUACACAAAAAUGCACAUAUUGUGAGCUCGAUGAGUAGGGCGGGACACGUGGUAUCCUGUCUGAAUAUGGGGGGACCAUCCUCCAAGGCUAAAUACUCCUGACUGACCGAUAGUGAACCAGUACCGUGAGGGAAAGGCGAAAAGAACCCCGGCGAGGGGAGUGAAAAAGAACCUGAAACCGUGUACGUACAAGCAGUGGGAGCACGCUUCGGCGUGUGACUGCGUACCUUUUGUAUAAUGGGUCAGCGACUUAUAUUCUGUAGCAAGGUUAACCGAAUAGGGGAGCCGAAGGGAAACCGAGUCUUAACUGGGCGUUAAGUUGCAGGGUAUAGACCCGAAACCCGGUGAUCUAGCCAUGGGCAGGUUGAAGGUUGGGUAACACUAACUGGAGGACCGAACCGACUAAUGUUGAAAAAUUAGCGGAUGACUUGUGGCUGGGGGUGAAAGGCCAAUCAAACCGGGAGAUAGCUGGUUCUCCCCGAAAGCUAUUUAGGUAGCGCCUCGUGAAUUCAUCUCCGGGGGUAGAGCACUGUUUCGGCAAGGGGGUCAUCCCGACUUACCAACCCGAUGCAAACUGCGAAUACCGGAGAAUGUUAUCACGGGAGACACACGGCGGGUGCUAACGUCCGUCGUGAAGAGGGAAACAACCCAGACCGCCAGCUAAGGUCCCAAAGUCAUGGUUAAGUGGGAAACGAUGUGGGAAGGCCCAGACAGCCAGGAUGUUGGCUUAGAAGCAGCCAUCAUUUAAAGAAAGCGUAAUAGCUCACUGGUCGAGUCGGCCUGCGCGGAAGAUGUAACGGGGCUAAACCAUGCACCGAAGCUGCGGCAGCGACACUAUGUGUUGUUGGGUAGGGGAGCGUUCUGUAAGCCUGUGAAGGUGUGCUGUGAGGCAUGCUGGAGGUAUCAGAAGUGCGAAUGCUGACAUAAGUAACGAUAAAGCGGGUGAAAAGCCCGCUCGCCGGAAGACCAAGGGUUCCUGUCCAACGUUAAUCGGGGCAGGGUGAGUCGACCCCUAAGGCGAGGCCGAAAGGCGUAGUCGAUGGGAAACAGGUUAAUAUUCCUGUACUUGGUGUUACUGCGAAGGGGGGACGGAGAAGGCUAUGUUGGCCGGGCGACGGUUGUCCCGGUUUAAGCGUGUAGGCUGGUUUUCCAGGCAAAUCCGGAAAAUCAAGGCUGAGGCGUGAUGACGAGGCACUACGGUGCUGAAGCAACAAAUGCCCUGCUUCCAGGAAAAGCCUCUAAGCAUCAGGUAACAUCAAAUCGUACCCCAAACCGACACAGGUGGUCAGGUAGAGAAUACCAAGGCGCUUGAGAGAACUCGGGUGAAGGAACUAGGCAAAAUGGUGCCGUAACUUCGGGAGAAGGCACGCUGAUAUGUAGGUGAAGCGACUUGCUCGUGGAGCUGAAAUCAGUCGAAGAUACCAGCUGGCUGCAACUGUUUAUUAAAAACACAGCACUGUGCAAACACGAAAGUGGACGUAUACGGUGUGACGCCUGCCCGGUGCCGGAAGGUUAAUUGAUGGGGUUAGCGCAAGCGAAGCUCUUGAUCGAAGCCCCGGUAAACGGCGGCCGUAACUAUAACGGUCCUAAGGUAGCGAAAUUCCUUGUCGGGUAAGUUCCGACCUGCACGAAUGGCGUAAUGAUGGCCAGGCUGUCUCCACCCGAGACUCAGUGAAAUUGAACUCGCUGUGAAGAUGCAGUGUACCCGCGGCAAGACGGAAAGACCCCGUGAACCUUUACUAUAGCUUGACACUGAACAUUGAGCCUUGAUGUGUAGGAUAGGUGGGAGGCUUUGAAGUGUGGACGCCAGUCUGCAUGGAGCCGACCUUGAAAUACCACCCUUUAAUGUUUGAUGUUCUAACGUGGACCCGUAAUCCGGGUUGCGGACAGUGUCUGGUGGGUAGUUUGACUGGGGCGGUCUCCUCCUAAAGAGUAACGGAGGAGCACGAAGGUUGGCUAAUCCUGGUCGGACAUCAGGAGGUUAGUGCAAUGGCAUAAGCCAGCUUGACUGCGAGCGUGACGGCGCGAGCAGGUGCGAAAGCAGGUCAUAGUGAUCCGGUGGUUCUGAAUGGAAGGGCCAUCGCUCAACGGAUAAAAGGUACUCCGGGGAUAACAGGCUGAUACCGCCCAAGAGUUCAUAUCGACGGCGGUGUUUGGCACCUCGAUGUCGGCUCAUCACAUCCUGGGGCUGAAGUAGGUCCCAAGGGUAUGGCUGUUCGCCAUUUAAAGUGGUACGCGAGCUGGGUUUAGAACGUCGUGAGACAGUUCGGUCCCUAUCUGCCGUGGGCGCUGGAGAACUGAGGGGGGCUGCUCCUAGUACGAGAGGACCGGAGUGGACGCAUCACUGGUGUUCGGGUUGUCAUGCCAAUGGCACUGCCCGGUAGCUAAAUGCGGAAGAGAUAAGUGCUGAAAGCAUCUAAGCACGAAACUUGCCCCGAGAUGAGUUCU